Lingula anatina is the source of this 73-nucleotide non-coding RNA. Lineage: Eukaryota; Metazoa; Brachiopoda; Lingulata; Lingulida; Lingulidae. The record is from Rfam.
GGUACUGUAGCCAAGUGGUUAAGGCAGAAGUCUGCAAAACUUCUACGCGUUGGUUCGAAUCCAAUCAGUACCU